AUGAGGACUGUGAGUGUGCUGAUGUGCAUGAGAGCUUUGUUAAAGGGAAGUGAAACACUGUGUGACGCUCGUCCCACCCUGACGGUGCUGCCCCCCUCCAGAGAGGAGCUACAGCAGGGGAAGGCCAUGCUCAUGUGCCUGGCCAACAAUGGCUUCCCCUCAGACUGGAGUCUGUCCUGGAAGGUGGACAGCAGCAGCAGCAGCAGCUGGGAGGAGGGCAGGAGCCCAGGGGUGCUGCAGGAGGACGGCCUCUACAGCUGGAGCAGCACCCUGAGGCUCCCUGCAGACCAGUGGGAGAAGGUGGGCUCUGUGACCUGUGAGGCCACCCAGGGCUCCCACGCUCCUCUCUCACAGACACUGAGGAGAGACCAGUGUUCCCAGUCCUGA
Molecule: non-coding RNA, 387 nt
Organism: Pelmatolapia mariae (spotted tilapia)
Lineage: Eukaryota; Metazoa; Chordata; Actinopteri; Cichliformes; Cichlidae
Source: the annotation of a RefSeq genome assembly